RNAcentral lists this ribosomal RNA (209 nucleotides) under uncultured Desulfocapsa sp. RNAcentral describes it as "partial 16S ribosomal RNA". It matches the Rfam family "Bacterial small subunit ribosomal RNA", at positions 1175 to 1382 of the family's 1533-position model. The record is from RNAcentral. Lineage: Bacteria; Pseudomonadati; Thermodesulfobacteriota; Desulfobulbia; Desulfobulbales; Desulfocapsaceae.
UGGGAUGACGUCAAGUCCUCAUGGCCUUUAUGUCUAGGGCUACACACGUACUACAAUGGCAGGUACAAAGGGCAGCGACACAGCGAUGUGAUGCGAAUCCCGAAAAGCCUGUCUCAGUCCGGAUCGGAGUCUGCAACUCGACUCCGUGAAGUUGGAAUCGCUAGUAAUCGUGGAUCAGCAUGCCACGGUCGAAUACGUUCCCGGGCCUU